This 526-nucleotide ribosomal RNA is filed under the name Agriotes lineatus. RNAcentral describes it as "partial 16S ribosomal RNA". The stretch from base 390 to 526 matches the Rfam family "Bacterial large subunit ribosomal RNA", at positions 2473 to 2610 of the family's 2925-position model. The record is from RNAcentral. Lineage: Eukaryota; Metazoa; Arthropoda; Insecta; Coleoptera; Elateridae.
CAUGUCCUUUUGAUUAUAAUUUAAGGUCUGGUCUGCUCAAUGAAAAUUUAAAUUGCCGCGGUAUUUUGACCGUGCAAAGGUAGCAUAAUAAUUAGUUUUUUUAUUGAAAGCUGGAAUGAAUGAUUGGACGAGAAAAUGACUGUCUCUUUAAAAAUUUUUGUUUAAUUUAACUUUUAAGUAAGAAGGCUUAAAUAUUUAUUAAAGACGAGAAGACCCUAUAGAGUUUUAUAUUUAUUUAGUAAUAAUUUAUUUGGAAUUUUUUAUUUUUUUAUUUUUAUUAAUAUUUGGUUGGGGUGACUAAAAGAUUUAUUAAACUCUUUUAAUUUUAUUAUCAUUGAUUUGUGAAUUGUUUAUCUAUAUUUUUUAAAUUUAAGAUAAAUUACCUUAGGGAUAACAGCGUAAUUUCUUUUUAGAGUUCUUAUCAAUAAAGAAGUUUGCGACCUCGAUGUUGGAUUAAAAUUUAUUUUUGGUGCAAAAGCUUAAAUAUUAAGUCUGUUCGACUUUUAAAAUUUUACAUGAUCUGAGU